Molecule: ribosomal RNA, 438 nt
Filed under: uncultured bacterium
Lineage: Bacteria
Description: bacterial SSU rRNA
Rfam family: Bacterial small subunit ribosomal RNA
Source: RNAcentral
UGGGGAAUCUUGCACAAUGGGCGAAAGCCUGAUGCAGCGACGCCGCGUGGGGGAUGAAGCAUUUCGGUGUGUAAACCCCUUUCGACUGGGAAGAAUGCCUCGCAAGAGGAGUGACGGUACCAGUAGAAGAAGCCCCGGCUAACUACGUGCCAGCAGCCGCGGUAAGACGUAGGGGGCCAGCGUUGUUCGGAAUUACUGGGUGUAAAGGGUUCGUAGGCGGUGCGGCAAGUUGGGAGUGAAAUCUCUGGGCUUAACCCAGAGGCUGCUUCCAAAACUGCUGUGCUCGAGUGUGAGAGAGGCUCGUGGAAUUGCAGGUGUAGCGGUGAAAUGCGUAGAUAUCUGCAGGAACACCCGUGGCGAAAGCGGCGAGCUGGAUCACUACUGACGCUGAGGAACGAAAGCUAGGGGAGCAAACAGGAUUAGAUACCCGCGUAGUCC